UGGGGAAUAUUGCGCAAUGGGGGGAACCCUGACGCAGCCAUGCCGCGUGAAUGAAGAAGGCCUUCGGGUUGUAAAGUUCUUUCGGUGAUGAGGAAGGCAGUUUGGUUAAUAGCCAAGUUGAUUGACGUUAGUCACAGAAGAAGCACCGGCUAACUCCGUGCCAGCAGCCGCGGUAAUACGGAGGGUGCGAGCGUUAAUCGGAAUAACUGGGCGUAAAGGGCACGCAGGCGGAUUUUUAAGUGAGGUGUGAAAGCCCUGGGCUUAACCUGGGAAUUGCAUUUCAGACUGGGAAUCUAGAGUACUUUAGGGAGGGGUAGAAUUCCACGUGUAGCGGUGAAAUGCGUAGAGAUGUGGAGGAAUACCGAAGGCGAAGGCAGCCCCUUGGGAAUGUACUGACGCUCAUGUGCGAAAGCGUGGGGAGCAAACAGG
RNAcentral lists this ribosomal RNA (429 nucleotides) under uncultured bacterium. RNAcentral's name for it is "bacterial SSU rRNA". It matches the Rfam family "Bacterial small subunit ribosomal RNA", at positions 355 to 776 of the family's 1533-position model. The record is from RNAcentral.